RNAcentral lists this unclassified non-coding RNA (348 nucleotides) under soil metagenome. RNAcentral describes it as "partial contains 5.8S ribosomal RNA, internal transcribed spacer 2, and large subunit ribosomal RNA". The stretch from base 1 to 120 matches the Rfam family "5.8S ribosomal RNA", at positions 35 to 154 of the family's 154-position model. The record is from RNAcentral.
GAUGAAGAACGCAGCGAAAUGCGAUAAGUAAUGUGAAUUGCAGAAUUCAGUGAAUCAUCGAGUCUUUGAACGCACAUUGCGCCCCCUGGUAUUCCGGGGGGCAUGCCUGUCCGAGCGUCAUUGCCGCCCUCAAGCACGGCUUGUGUGUUGGGCCCCCGCCCCCCGGCUUCGGGGGGCGGGCCCGAAAGGCAGCGGCGGCACCGCGUCCGGUCCUCGAGCGUAUGGGGCUUCGUCACCCGCUCUAUAGGCCCGGCCGGCGCCCGCCGGCGACCCCAAUCAAUCUUUCCAGGUUGACCUCGGAUCAGGUAGGGAUACCCGCUGAACUUAAGCAUAUCAAUAAGCGGAGGA